This 1802-nucleotide ribosomal RNA is filed under the name human gut metagenome. RNAcentral's name for it is "bacterial LSU rRNA". It matches the Rfam family "Bacterial large subunit ribosomal RNA", at positions 817 to 2492 of the family's 2925-position model. The record is from RNAcentral.
AGGGGUGAAAGGCCAAUCAAAUUCCGUGAUAGCUGGUUCUCUCCGAAAUGCAUUUAGGUGCAGCGUCGGUUGAUUGCAUCGCGGGGGUAGAGCUACUGGAUGCUUGCGGGCCCGUAUGGGGUACCAAUAGCAGCCAAACUCCGAAUACCGUGGAUGUGUAUUCCGGCAGUGAGUCGGCGGGGGAUAAGCUCCGUCGUCGAGAGGGAGACAGCCCAGAUCGUCGUCUAAGGUCCCGAAGCGUGUGCUAAGUGGGAAAGGAUGUGGAGUCGCAUAGACAGCCAGGAGGUUGGCUCAGAAGCAGCCAUCCUUGAAAGAGUGCGUAACAGCUCACUGGUCUAGUGGUUCCGCGCCGACAAUGUAGCGGGGCUCAAGCACACCACCGAAGACGCGGCAGCGGCCUUUGCGGCCGUUGGGUAGGAGAGCGUCCCGCGUGGGGCGAAGCGGCCGGGGAACCGUGCCGUGGACCGCGCGGGAGUGAGAAUGCAGACAUGAGUAGCGAGAGACGGGUGAGGAUCCCGUCCGCUGGAUGACCAAGGGUUCCGGGGCCACGUUCGUCGUCCCCGGGUGAGUCGGGUCCUAAGGCGAGGCCGACAGGCGUAGUCGAAUGGAUGAACGGGUGGAUAUUCCCGUACCGGCGGCGUACCGUAAGAGCCGAACGGAUGAGUACUAACCUCCGGUCGCGUGGCGUCGUUCCCUUCGGGGUUCGGUGUCCGCGGUCGUUGGGAGCGUAGUCCCGGUAGGCUAGCGCACAGGGGUGACACGGAAUGGGAGCCGGCCGCGGAGGUGGUUUUCCGUGGUCAAGCACGCAGCCCGUCCCAUAGGCAAAUCCGUGGGGCAUGUAGGGUGAGGUGUGAUGAUGGGCGUCCUUUGGACGCGAUAUCCGGUGGUCCAGGCCGUCGAGAAAAGCCUCGGCGCGAGGGGCGUCGCCGCCCGUACCCCAAACCGACACUGGUGGUCAGGUAGAGAAUACCAAGGCGAUCGAGCGAAUCCUGGUCAAGGAACUCGGCAAAUCACUCCCGUGCCUUCGGUAUAAGGGAGACCCCCGGGCGUGAAGAGGCUUGCCCUCGGAGCGUUGGGGGGUGGCACAGACCAGGGGGUAGCGACUGUUUACCAAAAACACAGGUGCAUGCGAAGGCGCAAGCCGCUGUAUAUGCACUGACGCCUGCCCGGUGCCGGAAGGUUAAGAGGAUCCGUCAGUCCCUUUUGGGGUGAAGCGGUGAAUUCAAGCCCCGGUAAACGGCGGUGGUAACUAUAACCAUCCUAAGGUAGCGAAAUUCCUUGUCGGGUAAGUUCCGACCUGCACGAAUGGCGUAACGACUUCCCCACUGUCUCGACCAGGAGCUCGGCGAAAUUGCAGUACGAGUAAAGAUGCUCGUUAAGCGCAGAAGGACGAAAAGACCCCGGGACCUUUACUAUACCUUGGUAUUGGCGUUAGGCGCGGAUUGUGUAGCAUAGGCGGGAGGCUUCGAAGCAUGGGCGCCAGCCCGUGUGGAGCCGCAAGGUGAAAUACCGCUCUGUUCUCGUUUGACGUCUAACCUCGAACAGUCAUCCUGUUCAGGGACAGUGCCUGGCGGGUAGUUUAACUGGGGCGGUUGCCUCCCAAAGAGUAACGGAGGCGCUCAAAGGUCCGCUCAGCCCGGUUGGCAAUCGGGUUUCGAGUGUAAUCGCACAAGCGGGCUUGACUGCGAGAACGACGGUUCGGGCAGGGACGAAAGUCGGAGAUAGUGAUCCGGUGCCGGCGCACGGGCGCGGCAUCGCUCAACGGAUAAAAGGUACCCCGGGGAUAACAGGCUGAUCAUUCC